Molecule: ribosomal RNA, 395 nt
Filed under: uncultured bacterium
Lineage: Bacteria
Description: bacterial SSU rRNA
Rfam family: Bacterial small subunit ribosomal RNA
Source: RNAcentral
ACGAACGCUGGCGGCGUGCUUAACACAUGCAAGUCGAGCGGUAAGGCCCUUUCGGGGGUACACGAGCGGCGAACGAGUGAGUAACACGUGGGUGACCUGCCCUCAGCUCUGGGAUAAGCCUGGGAAACCGGGUCUAAUACUGGAUAUGACUCCAUGACGCAUGUUGUGGGGUGGAAAGCCUUGUGCGGCUGAGGAUGGGCCCGCGGCCUAUCAGCUUGUUGGUGGGGUGANGGCCUACCAAGGCGACGACGGGUAGCCGGCCUGAGAGGGCGACCGGCCACACUGGGACUGAGACACGGCCCAGACUCCUACGGGAGGCAGCAGUGGGGAAUCUUGCGCAAUGGGCGAAAGCCUGACGCAGCGACGCCGCGUGAGGGAUGACGGCCUGGUGUAAC